Molecule: long non-coding RNA, 1276 nt
Organism: Portunus trituberculatus (swimming crab)
Lineage: Eukaryota; Metazoa; Arthropoda; Malacostraca; Decapoda; Portunidae
Exons: 4
Source: RefSeq, a predicted model, not a curated record
UGUAUAUAAAGGGACGGGCAUGAGGCGUUCCAUCACAGCAAGUGAACACUCAGAGCAAAGCAGUGCAGAACUUGUCCCCGGGUGAGAAAGAUGCAUCGCGGCCUGUUGUUGCUGGCGGUGGUGUUGGUGGCGGUGUGCGUGACCACCAGUGAAGCAGGCGGAAACCCUGGCAUAUGUCCAGUAAACCCUCGCUGCCUUGGAAAGUCAUGCUUCUCCGAUCAACAUUGCUUUCCACACCAAAAAUGCUGCAUUACUCCAUGUGGCCGGCUAGCGUGCAUAAAUGUUCGUCCGUAUGGGCGCCGCUAACCAGCACCAGCACCGUCACCACCACCGCCAUUUUGAUUUGAGUUGCUGAUUGAUGUUGUUAAAGAUUUAUGAAAUGAACCAUUGGCUAGAAUAUAAUUUGUUUUGUAUAUCUUUCUUGAUCUCUUUUAUCAAUUCAUUUUUUUUUAUGGAAGCGAGCCACUGCCAAGGCCAACAAUUGAAAAAGACCCUCAUAUUGCCAGUUUCCGCACAAAAUCGGUACAAAAAAAAAAAAAAAAAAAAUAGAACAAAUGCUUUGAAACUUUACUUUUGAUAAGAGCUGAUUCAUAAAAAGGAGGGAAACACCGAAGCAGACAAAGCGCUCUAGAGUGUACAAGAGAAACUAGUAAACUCUUGCACUGCAGAGGUGGACAGAAUGAGAAAAAGAAGAAAGUCUUGUGCUGUGACACCAUGAGAGGAGAGGACACAUGCAGUUAACAAGAACAGAGAAGUUUACAUGGAAAUAGUGGUGAAGAGUCAGAGAUGCAACACCCUGGCACUGAGAAAUGGGCAGAAGACGUUUUCAUGAAUUCAAUGACAACCUAAGAUAGGAAUUUAUAAAAGAGCCUGCUAGAAUGACUAGAACCAAGAUACCGCAUUUAAGAACGUCAGUAACUUCAACGGGAGCACAUUUCUAUUUGAAUAUGAAAGCACAAUUAAAAACUGCAAUAUCUUUCAGUACACAGUGUGCUAAAAGUAAUGGAGAUGAGACGUUCAGGAAUGUUUUAGAACACGCCGACCAGUAAUUGUGAUGUGUGUCUUUCCUGCAGCCUUGUCACUACGAUCCAGACUGCCAACCACACCAGAAGUGCUGCCAUAAUUCCUGUGGCGGGAACAGGUGCACCAACGUUCGCCCCCACUGAUGUCACCACCACCACCACCACAACUCUGACCGUAAAAACAAACUCGGCCUCAUGCUGACUGUUGUGAAUUGAGGUUUUCAGAGAAUUGUGAAGUAAAAAGAAAUAUUAAA